Molecule: ribosomal RNA, 460 nt
Filed under: uncultured bacterium
Lineage: Bacteria
Description: partial 16S ribosomal RNA
Rfam family: Bacterial small subunit ribosomal RNA
Source: RNAcentral
CCUACGGGAGGCAGCAGUGAGGAAUAUUGGUCAAUGGCCGGAAGGCUGAACCAGCCAUGCCGCGUGAAGGUCAGUGCCCUAUGGGCGUUAAACUUCUUUUGUGCGGGAGCAAUAAUGGUCACGUGUGGCCAGACGAGAGUACCGUACGAAUAAGCAUCGGCUAACUCCGUGCCAGCAGCCGCGGUAAUACGGGGGAUGCAAGCGUUAUCCGGAUUUAUUGGGUUUAAAGGGUGCGUAGGCUGUGAGGUAAGUCAGCGGUGAAAUGCCCCCGCUCAACGGGGUGAAGUGCCAUUGAUACUGCCUUGCUGGAAUGCGGAUGCCGUGGGAGGAAUGUGUGGUGUAGCGGUGACAUGCAUAGAUAUCACACAGAACACCGAUUGCGAAGGCAUCUCACGAAUCCGCGAUUGACGCUGAUGCACGAAAGCGUGGGUAUCAAACAGGAUUAGAUACCCCUGUAGUC